AGAAACGGGAAAACGCCACAAAAGCAAAAAAGAGGAGAACGUAAGGAAAAGAGCAGAACAAAGCAAAUAUAAGGAAAGAAAAAUGAAGGAAUCAAAUAAGAGGUGCAGCAGGCGCGAAACCUUUCACUGCACGUCAGUGCGAUAAGGGGAUCCCUAGUGCGACGGCAUAGCGCCCUCGCUUUCUGUACCGUAAGGAGGUACAAGAUAAGGGCUGGGCAAGACCGGUGCCAGCCGCCGCGGUAAUACCGGCAGCCCGAGUGAUGGCCGAUAUUAUUGGGCCUAAAGCGUCCGUAGCCGGCCGGGCAAGUCCAUCGGGAAAUCCACCCGCUCAACGCGUGGGCGUCCGGUGGAAACUGCCUGGCUUGGGACCGGAAGACGCGAGGGGUACGUCCGGGGUAGGAGUGAAAUCCCGUAAUCCUGGACGGACCGCCGGUGGCGAAAGCGCUUCGCGAGGACGGAUCCGACGGUGAGGGACGAAAGCUAGGGUCUCGAACCGGAUUAGAUACCCGGGUAGUCCUGGCGGUAAACGAUGCCGGCUAGGAGUGGGGCGGG
This 552-nucleotide ribosomal RNA is filed under the name uncultured archaeon. RNAcentral describes it as "bacterial SSU rRNA". It matches the Rfam family "Archaeal small subunit ribosomal RNA", at positions 306 to 782 of the family's 1478-position model. RNAcentral also lists the same sequence under 1 other name. The record is from RNAcentral.